Molecule: ribosomal RNA, 464 nt
Filed under: uncultured bacterium
Lineage: Bacteria
Description: partial 16S ribosomal RNA
Rfam family: Bacterial small subunit ribosomal RNA
Source: RNAcentral
GACGAACGCUGGCGGCGUGCUUAACACAUGCAAGUCGUACGGUAAGGCCCUUUCGGGGGUACACGAGUGGCGAACGGGUGAGUAACACGUGAGUAACCUGCCCACAACUUUGGGAUAACGCUAAGAAACUGGUGCUAAUACUGGAUAUGUGCUCCUGCUGCAUGGUGGGGGUUGGAAAGCUCCGGCGGUUGUGGAUGGACUCGCGGCCUAUCAGCUUGUUGGUGGGGUAGUGGCCUACCAAGGCGGCGACGGGUAGCCGGCCUGAGAGGGUGACCGGCCACAGUGGGACUGAGAUACGGCCCAGACUCCGACGGGAGGCAGCAGUGGGGAAUAUUGCACAAUGGGCGCAAGCCUGAUGCAGCAGCGCCGCGUGCGGGAUGACGGCCUUCGGGUUGUAAACCGCUUUCAGCAGGGACGAAGCUUUGUGUGACGGUACCGGCAGAAGAAGCACCGGCUAACUACGU